ACGAACGCUGGCGGCGUGCUUAACACAUGCAAGUCGAACGGUGAAGCGCCUUCCUUUUUGGUGGGUGUGGAUGAGUGGCGAACGGGUGAGUAACACGUGAGUAACCUGCCCCCUUCUUCUGGAUAACCGCAUGAAAGUGUGGCUAAUACGGGAUAUUCUGGGUCUGUCGCAUGAUGGGUCUGGGAAAGAUAUUGUUUCGGUGGGGGAUGGGCUCGCGGCCUAUCAGCUUGUUGGUGGGGUGAUGGCCUACCAAGGCGGUGACGGGUAGCCGGCCUGAGAGGGUGGACGGUCACACUGGGACUGAGACACGGCUCAGACUCCUACGGGAGGCAGCAGUGGGGAAUAUUGCACAAUGGGCGCAAGCCUGAUGCAGCGACGCCGCGUGAGGGAUGGAGGCCUUCGGGUUGUGAACCUCUUUCGCCAGUGAAGCAGGCCUGCCUCGUUUGUGGGUGGGUUGACGGUAGCUGGAUAAGAAGCGCCGGCUAACUACGUG
RNAcentral lists this ribosomal RNA (493 nucleotides) under uncultured bacterium. RNAcentral describes it as "partial 16S ribosomal RNA". It matches the Rfam family "Bacterial small subunit ribosomal RNA", at positions 29 to 507 of the family's 1533-position model. The record is from RNAcentral.